GAAAUGCUCUCCUCUCCCUUGAACUGAGAGGAAGGAGGAGAGGCAGGAAGGAGCAGAAGUUCGUACUAACCAUUUGGCAAAUAAGCCAGGAAGACCUGAAUCCCACCACAGCCAGAUGCAACUGAGAACUUCAGGCCUUUGUGGAAAUUGCAGAAGCUGAUCAGAUCCACCUGCUAAUAGGAAACUGCCUUCUGUGCUGUGCCCUUGUGUAUCCUCAUCUCCUAAGAGGAGGAAGUACCCAACAAGGACCUGUGAGAACACCUUUUCUUUGUUUCACUUAAUCCCAAGCCUCAACAAAUGAGAAGUUGGUCCUUGGUACUUUUCCUUUUGGUUUCCCUAGAAUUGAUAUCAGAAACUGAAGAGAUGAGGCUUUCAUAGAACAGCCACCUCCUCCUUAAGGACUCUGAAAAGAGACCCACAAGCCAGGCACCUGGGGACUGCACAGACCAGGCCUCCUAGGUCUGAGCUGAAUGGGGAACAUGGGUGUUUGACUUUGGAUUCUACUCAACCAUCCACUAGUUUACGGCAAUUAAAAAGAAAACAAACACUGUUUACAGUAAGCAAUACUUGAAGAGUGUAGGUUUAAAAAGCAGCAGUAUUUAUUAUUAUAUUUUCUUUUCUCUUGUGCCUGGAGAGGGGAGGCCAACCUUCACUCAUAACCAGAAGCCCCUGACCAACUGGGCAUCUGCGUUUGCCUCAGUAGAAAUGACCAUCAUCUCUGUCUGUCAUGAAACCAUGGAUGUGAAAGUGUAUUACUUCUGAGAAGGCACCUGUUCGUCCCUCUGUCUCCUGAUACCUAAUGCCAUAGAUGGCCAGCCUUCCUGAGUAUAGCUUCCAAGCAGAGGCCAAGGCUCCAUCCUUGGGCCCAGAGGCAAGCUCUGUUGUAGCAGGACAAGAAAUUCAACUGGUAAGCCCUCAGGGAAUUUAGUCCUCCUGCCUUGGGAUGACCCCUAGCAGCCAACUCCAACAGCUUUGCAAUUAGCAUCUGUUUCUAGGGAGGAGGACAAGAGGAUGACAAAGGGUGGGCAUGAGGGAAUGGUGAACAUAUGUCCCCUAAGAAGGCAUAAAUCUGUUUUUUAAGGGGUCAGGAAUGCCAGACUGGAAAAUGGGGCUGGGAAAUGGAGCUAACUAUCCCAACAGAGACUGGCCCUGGGUUACUUCCUUCACAAUUAACUCAGGCCUCAGCUGAUUUUUCCAGUUGAUUCCAGUAUCUGAGAUUCUGCUCACCAGAUCUGACUGCCUGCACAGGGCAAAGAAGAAAAGCCAAGAAGGCGGCUUCCAUGGAAUGUAUAUAUCUUCAGAUAGCUGUCUCACAUAUAGCUGAAGCUGUCUGGGCUGUUCAGCUUGUUUCUUGCCUGAAUGCAACUGACAAGUGGAGAGAGAAAAGCAUUCAGCAAAAUACUCAGGAAACUUGCUGAUUUUAUGAUGAUUCACAACCAGCCAUGCCAAGGCCACUUUUCUUCUGAUAAUCUACUCAUGUUAAAGUUUUCGGGGCCAUAUUAAUAUCCUGGAAAAAAAAAAAAACUAAUGACUGGCCUUUCACACCAAGCCAAAGUGUUUGCUCCUCAUAUCACCCAAAGCUUAUCAUCUUAGAACUUAGAAUUUUGAAAAUGAAAGAAAUGAUAUAGUCAAAACAAGAAUAGGAACAGAAGACAGGAUAACUCUGGCUCGCCUUUUUUUCCAUCUCAGCACCGUUAAAGACUUUCUGAGCAGCUGCUACUGCUCAGGCUGAUGUCGAGAGUGCUGUUCAUC
Molecule: long non-coding RNA, 1752 nt
Filed under: Mus musculus (house mouse)
Lineage: Eukaryota; Metazoa; Chordata; Mammalia; Rodentia; Muridae
Description: long non-coding RNA chr1:194812703-194814455
Source: RNAcentral